Molecule: ribosomal RNA, 468 nt
Filed under: uncultured bacterium
Lineage: Bacteria
Description: partial 16S ribosomal RNA
Rfam family: Bacterial small subunit ribosomal RNA
Source: RNAcentral
GACGAACGCUGGCGGCGUGCUUAACACAUGCAAGUCGAACGGAAAGGCCCUGCUUUUGUGGGGUGCUCGAGUGGCGAACGGGUGAGUAACACGUGAGUAACCUGCCCUUGACUUUGGGAUAACUUCAGGAAACUGGGGCUAAUACCGGAUAGGAGCUCCUGCUGCAUGGUGGGGGUUGGAAAGUUUCGGCGGUUGGGGAUGGACUCGCGGCUUAUCAGCUUGUUGGUGGGGUAGUGGCUUACCAAGGCUUUGACGGGUAGCCGGCCUGAGAGGGUGACCGGCCACAUUGGGACUGAGAUGCGGCCCAGACUCCUACGGGAGGCAGCAGUGGGGAAUAUUGCACAAUGGGCGGAAGCCUGAUGCAGCAACGCCGCGUGGGGGAUGACGGCCUUCGGGUUGUAAACCGCUGUCGCCUGUGACGAAGCGUGAGUGACGGUAAUGGGUAAAGAAGCACCGGCUAACUACGUG